UACGGGGGGGGCAAGCGUUGUUCGGAAUUACUGGGCGUAAAGGGCUCGUAGGCGGCCAACUAAGUCGGAUGUGAAAUCCCCAAGCUUAACUUGGGAACUGCAUCCGAUACUGGAUGGCUUGAGUUCGGGAGAGGGAUGCGGAAUUCCAGGUGUAGCGGUGAAAUGCGUAGAUAUCUGGAGGAACACCGGUGGCGAAGGCGGCAUCCUGGACCGACACUGACGCUGAGGAGCGAAAGCCAGGGGAGCAAACGGG
RNAcentral lists this ribosomal RNA (253 nucleotides) under uncultured bacterium. Its description in RNAcentral is "partial 16S ribosomal RNA". It matches the Rfam family "Bacterial small subunit ribosomal RNA", at positions 524 to 776 of the family's 1533-position model. The record is from RNAcentral.